CGCGCAGGCGGUUCGGUAAGUCGGUCUUAAAAGUGCGGGGCUUAACCCCGUGAUGGGAUUGAAACUGCCGGACUGGAGUGUCGGAGAGGAAAGCAGAAUUCCUAGUGUAGCGGUGAAAUGCGUAGAUAUUAGGAGGAAUACCAGUGGCGAAAGCGGCUUUCUGGACGACAACUGACGCUGAGGCGCGAAAGCCAGGGGAGCAAACG
Molecule: ribosomal RNA, 206 nt
Filed under: uncultured bacterium
Lineage: Bacteria
Description: partial 16S ribosomal RNA
Rfam family: Bacterial small subunit ribosomal RNA
Source: RNAcentral